AUUGAACGCUGGCGGCAGGCCUAACACAUGCAAGUCGAACGAGUGGCGGACGGGUGAGUAAUGUCUGGGAAACUGCCCGAUGGAGGGGGAUAACUACUGGAAACGGUAGCUAAUACCGCAUACCAUCGGAUGUGCCCAGAUUGGAUUAGCUAGUAGGUGGGGUAAAGGCUCACCUAGGCGACGAUCCCUAGCUGGUCUGAGAGGAUGACCAGCCCAGCUGGAACUGAGACACGGUCCAGACUCGUACGGAGGGCAGCAGUGGGGAAUAUUGCACAAUGGGCGCAAGCCUGAUGCAGCCAUGCCGCGUGUAUGAAAAAGGCCUUCGGUUUGUAAAGUACUUUCAGCGGGGAGGCGUUACCCGCAAAAGAAGCACCGGCUAACUCCUUGCCCGCGGCCGCGGUAUAC
RNAcentral lists this ribosomal RNA (405 nucleotides) under uncultured bacterium. RNAcentral's name for it is "partial 16S ribosomal RNA". It matches the Rfam family "Bacterial small subunit ribosomal RNA", at positions 30 to 525 of the family's 1533-position model. The record is from RNAcentral.